This 30-nucleotide non-coding RNA is filed under the name Rattus norvegicus (Norway rat). Lineage: Eukaryota; Metazoa; Chordata; Mammalia; Rodentia; Muridae. The record is from RNAcentral.
UCCUCUAAGCAAUGGAGAAGUCACAAGGAA